Molecule: ribosomal RNA, 506 nt
Filed under: uncultured bacterium
Lineage: Bacteria
Description: partial 16S ribosomal RNA
Rfam family: Bacterial small subunit ribosomal RNA
Source: RNAcentral
AGUGAACGCUGGCGGUAGGCCUAACACAUGCAAGACGAACGGCAGCACGGGAGAGCUUGCUCUCUGGGUGGCGAGUGGCGGACGGGUGAGGAAUACAUCGGAAUCUACUCUGUCGUGGGGGAUAACGUAGGGAAACUUACGCUAAUACCGCAUACGACCUACGGGUGAAAGCAGGGGACCUUCGGGCCUUGCGCGAUUGAAUGAGCCGAUGUCGGAUUAGCUAGUUGGCGGGGUAAAGGCCCACCAAGGCGGCGAUCCGUAGCUGGUCUGAGGGGAUGAUCAGCCACACUGGAACUGAGACACAGUCCAGACUCCUACGGGAGGCAGCAGUGGGGAAUAUUGGACAAUGGGCGCAAUCCUGAUCCAGCCAUACCGCGUGUGUGAAGAAGGCCUUCGGGUUGUAAAGCCCUUUUGUUGGGAAAGAAAUCCAGCUGGCCAAUACCCGGUUGGGAUGACGGUACCCAAAGAAUAAGCACCGGCUAACUUCGUGCCAGCCGCCGCGGUAA